Molecule: transfer RNA, 73 nt
Filed under: Opisthocomus hoazin
Lineage: Eukaryota; Metazoa; Chordata; Aves; Opisthocomiformes; Opisthocomidae
Rfam family: tRNA
About the family: Transfer RNA (tRNA) molecules are approximately 80 nucleotides in length. Their secondary structure includes four short double-helical elements and three loops (D, anti-codon, and T loops).
Source: Rfam by way of RNAcentral
GCCCAGCUAACUCAGUUGGUAGAGCAUGAGACUCUUAAUCUCUGGGUCGUGGGUUUGUGCCCCACAUUGGGUG